RNAcentral lists this unclassified non-coding RNA (401 nucleotides) under Solidago riddellii. RNAcentral's name for it is "partial external transcribed spacer". Lineage: Eukaryota; Viridiplantae; Streptophyta; Magnoliopsida; Asterales; Asteraceae. The record is from RNAcentral.
CGGGUGGUCGGCUCCCUGCUUGAGCAGGCACGGCCACGCGUGCAUUCCUUUUCAGUUGUGCGGCAAGGCUUGUAUCGUCUUGAUCGUAUAAGUGGGUUUCUUGUGUUGCAUACCUGAUCAAUGGCAUCGUUUUGAUCAAAAUGGUACCUUUUUCGUCUGACGAUGCACUUAUUGUGUUGUCGGAUGAACCGUGUAGCAUCCUCUUUGAUCCAUACAGUUGACGUGUACUCGUUGAUUGUUUGGCCCGUUGAGGGUGACUUGGUCUCUCGGAUAUGGAAGCCAAAGUGGGCAUGGGUUCGCCAGAUCCCUUUAUUGCCCUCAUUGAGUGUUCUCGCUUCUCUUACACGACUGCCUUUCACGUAUGGCACGUCCCAGCGUGUUUGGCUAUGUCGAAGAGGAAU